GCCGCCGCUCGCAGCCCCCGGCAUGGUCGCGCCGCGCUGGCUCCUGGCGCUGCUGCUGCUGCUCUGGCUCGCCCUGUCCGCCGCGGGGCCGCUGGGCGCUGCGCCAGACAGGCAGGAUGUGGACGACGGCCUCAUCCGGAUGCUGGUGCGGCCACGGGGUGCGCGGCGCGGGGCUGGGCACCGGCCCGGUGGCUGGCGCAGGUACCGGAGACCCCGGCCCCGGCUCUCACACAAGGGCCCGAUGCCUUUCUGAGGCAGGGGUGCCCCCAGCCUGCCCAGGACACGGCUCCCACUGCCCGCACGGUGCCAUAACCCAUGCUGCUCAUGCCCCGGCCCCGAGCGCAGGGUCCCACCCGUGAGCCCUCGGCUGGAGCCACCUCGUCCCCGUGGCUGCCCCUGGAGGCCCAGCACCGUGUCUAGCUCAUGUGGCACCAGGUGCUGCUGCGAUGGUGGGCUUUGACCAAAGCACUUUGUCAGGCAGAGGAGCUUCUCCAGCUUGCCCUGGGUGGGGGGGUCCUAUUUAUUCCCCUGGUGCUAACCCCGCACCCUGGGUGAGCUGCUCUCCCCUUCCCGCUACCAGAUCCCCCUCCUGGGGACCCCCAAGGCGUGGGGCGCCAGCCCAGGACAACGUGGGGGACUCCAGACCCCUCUGCCUGCUCCAUGCCAUGGGACAGCGGGAGAAUGGGGGGUACUGGGAUCUCUGUAUCAAGCACUGACAUAUGCCAAAGGAGGGGCCCUUGCUCUGAGCUGGGCCCUGUUGACCAUGUCUCAUGUCUGUAAAGAUUUAUUCUGUGUAAAUACAUAUUUGUAAUAAAGAGUUCUGAUGACAAGAAA
RNAcentral lists this long non-coding RNA (834 nucleotides) under Strigops habroptila (Kakapo). RNAcentral describes it as "lncRNA (ENSSHBG00005015617.1)". The record is from RNAcentral. Lineage: Eukaryota; Metazoa; Chordata; Aves; Psittaciformes; Psittacidae.